Molecule: long non-coding RNA, 3459 nt
Organism: Paramormyrops kingsleyae
Lineage: Eukaryota; Metazoa; Chordata; Actinopteri; Osteoglossiformes; Mormyridae
Source: RefSeq, a predicted model, not a curated record
AUCCCACCCAGAGACAAACAGAAACACGAUCCGUCUUCAGCGGAGGAAUCCAUCGAUUCCCGCCCCGUGUUUGUUUUUACUCAGACUUCUCCAUUGAUCAGAGGGUCAAGCGGUUAUCCGGCUGAGUUCUCUGUAUCAACUCACUGAUUGCAUCCUCAGAACGGCUUCUCCAUUCAGAGCAUGUUCGGGGUACUUACUGUCUAAUAAUGUGGGAAGCCAAGUAGGAUCCUUUUGUAAUUCCACACUGCUCGUCCUGGAUUGGCAGGAUGCCGAAAUCAAGGUUCUGAUACGCGGUGGUAGAAAUGAGUCAUAGGAGCAGGACUAAGACGGACCAUGAGGAGCCCUCCUCGAUCGGUUGGGCCUCGGGCUGCCUUGCCCAGAAGGUCUACCUGACGGGGCCAUCGUGAGAAGCCUGGAAUUCCCGCUCUGCCAGAAAGCUGCAGAAAGCUGUGGGCUCAUGAGCGGAACCCCCUGAUCUGGGCCGGCACUUGGCCAGAGGCUCCGGGAGGCCCUUCAGAGUGUGUCUGUCAGGCUGGCAUGAAGGCAACUGCGGAGCGAGCUGGUUGUUCGUGGGAAAUGUGGGAGCACAGAUGAUCAGGAGCAAAACAUCUCUCCUGUGCAUGUGCGGGAGGAUCUGAUCUCCGUGGAUGGCUGAAAUCAACAGGGACUGGAGGCGUGGCCGAACAGCCCUGGCGUCUACUUGAGCACGACAGGCACAUGCUGCAAACGUUACGCUUACCGUUCAUGUGGGUAACGUGCCUCUUAUCACAAGGAGGGCUGCCGCCCAAGGCGUAAGCAGAGGAAGCGGCUGCUUAGGGCCCAGCGGCCACUAGGGGGCCCCCCCAUAUAAUCAGCCUGUCAGAAUGGGAACGAAGAUGAUAAAUGACAACUAGGUUAAUCAAAUUUUGCUUUGGGCCUCAGAUAAGCUUAGGUCAGCUUUGAGCACAACUAUCUCAAGUGGAGUUAACGCAGGUCUGAAGGAAAAUCACAGACGGUGAAAUGGGGAGCUGAUUUACCUCAGGUAUCCUGUUCGCGUGGUAUAUGGCAUGUUUCGCUUCAUCAAGCAGUUGCAAAUUUUAUUUUGUCACCUGCACAAAUAUACAGUGUACAUCUGUGCUGUGAAAUCCCUUUUCCGCAUUUUUCAGUUUUGUCUCCCUGGUCCAUGUAAAUCAUUACAGAUUACCUGGUCAGCUAAGUGAAAAAAAAGUAAAUGUUUACAGGCGUGAAGCUUUUUAUCUAAUUAUGAUAAUCAAGUCCUUCUCCCCGCAGUUAAUUUAAAUGUGAAAUUGAUGCAGUUUCCCCGCUGCAGGAGCUCUGGUCCUCGCUGGCACGCUCUCAAGCCAAAAGCUUGUCAGUUUGAAAAUGCCAGUUCAUAGAGGAGCACGACUGACUUGCAGCAACGUGCCUCCAUCUGUCCGGCGGCUCUGUGUGAAUUUGUGAAUGAUUUUUGCCGUGGUGUGCGAGCCUGUCUUUGCACCCUUGAUAAGCAUUUGCUGUGAUGUAAUCCAAUAUUUCAGUCCAGUAUUAUUUCAGGCACCGGAUCACUAUUUGGCAUAUAAUUUGCCUGGCGAGCAAACAUUUUGAGUGAAUGAGGGGCACGUGUACUGGGAGCAAGUGGGCCACCAGAGUCCCGAUCCCAGUAACACACGUCUCCGGCUUCAGGGAAGCGCUUCCCAUUUUCCUGGCUUCCACAGCAUCUGUGAACAAAUUAUUUCUACAAGCUGGGCGUGCCAGACAUCUGUGGAGCAGCUGCCCCUAGUGGACAGGAGGGGCAUAACUGAACGCAGAAGCGGAGAGUUCUAAACAGAUAGAUAUGGCUACACAGACAGUAUGAAUGCAGUGAUAUGCCUUUAGUUACACAUGCACACACGAAUACGACAAGACACCCUGAAGGGUGACACAGCUAGAUGUAGGCAGACAUGUAUAUACAGAGAGGAAAUUCUACAACAGAACCCUACACUCCCCCACCAAGCUUAACACUCUCACCAGUCUGGUUCUACAACAGGGGUCACUGUUCAGCCAAAGCGAAUCCGUCAAGGCCCCAAAGCGAAAGACACAGUUAUGCAUUUUCCGAAUCUUGGCUAAGAAAAUAUUUAUCGAGCGAGUUGCCGCCCUGUAGCGCAGGCAGCGAGAGAGGAAAUCCAGGUAUCUGAUGGGAGCUAGAAGCCCGGCGAUGGCGCGGAAUGACCCGGUCUCGCCAGGCGUCGAAACGAGAAACGGAGACAGAGACGCGGCUGACCUAACACGGAGGAUUUCUGGAAUCGGGCACGAAUGGGAGAGCGAGGAUGAUAACCUGACUGACCUCAAGUGAGGAAUCCAUUCUUCCCGUGAGGAGGAACCUUAUUAGAAUAAGAGACACACAAUGUUCCAAAAAUUACACAUACUAUGCAUACUAGUAUAUCGACAAUUAUGGAAAAUAAUGGGGGCAUAUGCUUUAUUGGGGCAAUAAAGGUACAGUCAAUUACACAAUUCAUGAAAGCAGAAAAUACUCUAUUCAUCUGCUUUAUUUAAUUAGACACUGGAAGCUUUUUGUAAUGACAAAAGCAAAGCAGUCUUUGUCUUUGAUGGUGGGUUCAAAGUACACGGAUGAUAUGUAGCCACCAAGUUCUCUUCAGGGAAGGAAGUAGGACCACUUUGUUCGACCCAGGUUCAAUUGGAGAUCUUGGUAGUCAAUGCAUCGUUACUCAAUAAAGCACAUCCAGAGAGCUGUGCUGCAUUGUGGGUAAAUGCCGCUCACCAGCUGGACUGGCUCAUGACCCAAGGCGAUUGCCAUGUGACUUUUCAGUAGCAUUGUAGAAUAAGCCUUGUUCCAAAUACACAGAGCUUCAUAAUGAUUACUAACUUUGACGGACUGAUCAGGUCAACUAUGUAAUAUGGCUACUUUAUUCAGUGUUUAUUAUAAUCACAUGCAGGUCUCUGAGAGGUUUAUUUUGCUGUCUAUAUAAUAGACUCAGACAUGUUAAUCAAGUGUUAAGGGAUCCGUUCUUGUGGGAUUGUCUGUCAGAAUCUUUGGAUAGUGGAGUUAGUCUGGAACGUCGUGAACGACUUGAUGGAUUAUGGGAAAACACAAGAAUCCCUGUGUGCCUUUUACAACUGGCAAAUGAAGUGUAAGUUAGAAGGCGGGGGGGAGGGGGGAUAAGCCUUAAUUAUGCAACAUCUGCCAUUCCUGAUAGCACACCGGAAUUUUGUCUAAGUCCAGCCAGAUUAUGACAGAACUCCAGUUGUGCGGCGGACGGACAUGUUGCAAGACAUGGGGGUCGUUUGAGGCAAAAGUGGUGAAACUGUGUCAUUUGCGAAGAAAAUAAGGCCGUGAGAUUGUGGCUGAGGAACCCUGGGGAACGGAGAAAGUGCGAUCAGAGGCAUCCUGCUUCAGAUGCUGAUGAUGGAGGCAGCGUUUAAUCGUGGGGGGUGGGUUUGGAGCCGAGGCGCCUGCUGUCCUUUGAUUGGGCAUUAAAAGUA